UGGUGGAGUGAUUUGUCUGGUUAAUUCCGAUAACGAACGAGACCUUAACCUGCUAAUUAGAGGUGCUGUUUCUUAACGGUAUCCCCUUCUUAGAGGAACAAUUGAUAUCCAAUCAAUGGAAGUUUGAGGCAAUAACA
RNAcentral lists this ribosomal RNA (137 nucleotides) under uncultured eukaryote. RNAcentral describes it as "partial 18S ribosomal RNA". It matches the Rfam family "Eukaryotic small subunit ribosomal RNA", at positions 1299 to 1458 of the family's 1831-position model. The record is from RNAcentral.